CACCAGCCCCUCGAGUGGUGGGGAUGAUUAUUUGGCCUAAAGCGUCCGUAGCCGGCCGGGUAAGUUUCCCGUUAAAUCCAAUGUCUCAAGCAUUGGACUGCGGGAAAUACUGCCUGGCUAGAGAGUGGGAGAGGUGUACGGUAUUCUGGGGGUAGGGGCGAAAUCCUUUGAUCCCCGGAGGACCACCAGUGGCGAAGGCUGUACACUAGAACACGUCUGACGGUCAGGGACGAAAGCUGGGGUAGCGAACCGGAUUAGAUACCCGGGUAGUCCCAGCUGUAAACGAUGCAUGCUAGGUGUUGGGUUGGCCACGAGCCACCCCAGUGCCGCAGGGAAGCCGUUAAGCAUGCCGCCUGGGAAGUACGAUCGCAAGAUUGAAACUUAAAGGAAUUGGCGGGGGAGCACCACCAGGCGUGAAGCCUGCGGUUU
Molecule: ribosomal RNA, 429 nt
Filed under: uncultured archaeon
Lineage: Archaea
Description: bacterial SSU rRNA
Rfam family: Archaeal small subunit ribosomal RNA
Source: RNAcentral